GUGAAAGGGAAGCAAGUGAUGAUAUACACUAGUAUAUACAUAGAUAUACAGUGAUGGGCCAAAGCCCAAAUUGCAGCAGCGGAGACCCAAAACCUUAAUCCAGCCGGCCCAAACCAUCAGUACAACCCAAAAAAGUGAUUUACUUCUUUUCUAUUUAUUGCUUUAAUUGUAAUUAUUUGCAUAAAUCUAACUUUAGCUUUAGUU
RNAcentral lists this unclassified non-coding RNA (204 nucleotides) under Hevea brasiliensis (rubber tree). The record is from RNAcentral. Lineage: Eukaryota; Viridiplantae; Streptophyta; Magnoliopsida; Malpighiales; Euphorbiaceae.